UGAGAUGAAAAACCAAAUGAUAUAAUAUAUGCAACAUCAAUCACAGGUCUGACCAAAAAUCCAACACUUGAUGAUAAAUAUACAAACACAUACAGCAGCAGCCUUACCUUAUUCUUACCAGUCCCCUCUUUCUCUCUACAAAAUGCAAUGACAAUAUUAACGAAUAAAGUUUGCUGGUCCCAUAAGUAACAACCCUCCUGCUCAUAAUAACAAACUCAAAUUAAUAAUAGUACACUGCGUGUAUCUCCGCCAUGAUUCCCCGUGGUGAACUCAAAGACGAUCUCACCACCUCGCAUCGUAUGUGGCCUUCACGCUCCUUCCCCAUCUCUCCUGGAACAACUCUACCGACACCCAAAUAUAACCCUACUGCAAAGGAUUAGCGGCUGAACGAGGUCACCUUCGUUCAGGCAGCAGCGAUGGGCUCAGCUGGUGGUGCAGGGGCUGCUGCUGCGGGGGCAGCGGCGGCGGGUGCGGCAUUCUCCUUCUCAGGGACAGUGCCGUUGGCAGGGGCAUCCUUGGCAGCAGGUGUCGCUACCGCCUUAGCUCCGUCCUUUCCAGCGGCGGCCGGAGUUCCAUCCUUCCCAGCGGGUGCUGCAGCAGGUGGUGGAGGUGGCUUCAUGUGUGGCGGCGGUGUGUGCUUCAGCUUUGAGAGGAUCUGGCGCAUCCGCGCCAUGUCGGUGGCCUUCCCGGGCUUGGGGCCCUGGACAACGAUGAUCCCAGGCUUCUUGUCCUUGUCCUUCUUGCCCGUCCUCUUCUCGAUGUGCGCAAUCUCCUGUGGGAUGAGCUCGGAUAUCGCCUUCCAGUACUGCUUGUCUGCGCCCUUGUGGAACUUCUCCUGGUUGGACAGGAAAAGCUGAUACCAAGCAGCAACACACACAGGGAGACAAGAAAAGGAGAUGUUAGGUAACCAUAUGUUGUUCAAAAAGAGCCAAAGGAGAAUACACAGGGUCAUCAUGAUGUUAAGAAAUAUUACUGUACCUUCUCCCUUUCCCGGUUGUGAUCCUUGCUUGUCUCAAGGUUCAGCUUGCGCUUCUCGACGAAACCCUUCUUGAACUCUUCAGCUUCAAGGAUGAUUUGGCUCCUCAGCUCCUUCUCGUGCUUCUCCUUUUCCUCCAGAAGGAGUGCAUUUUGACUGUUCAGAGCUGGCGUUAGCAUUUACUUUGCACAAUACAGAUGGAAUCAAGCAGUACAAAAUAGCAGUAUUUAUUGUCGAGACAGAUAUAGCCUCUGUUCAAGAUGUUUAAUGCACCACUAGCGUUGUAGUUGAUGAUAUAGAACAGGGCCUACAGCAAUUUAUAUAAAGACAUUCUCUUGCCCGGAAGUCAGAUCUGGAGUCAUAUGUUAUAUCUUUAUCUGAAAGUUUAUUUCGUAGUGGCUACAGCAAACUGCAUUCUUUGGUGCAGGGGUUUAAAUAGACAAAUAGUGCACUGGAGGAAACAUAGCAGAAACGCCAAAAGAGGCAAACACUUCCUAUAUGGGGAAGUAACAUUAACAUAAUCAAGAACCCUCAUUUAGAUUUCGGAAAGCUCUCAUUUUGGACACAACACUUUGAGCACCUACAUAUAUGUCGAUAUUUAUAUUGGAUAACUGGAAGUCAUGUGUAGAUUUAUCUCAGCAAGUAGCCCAUUUUGGCAAACAAAAAAUAAACUUAAAUCAUACAGAAAUACAGACUUAUGCGCAAGAACAUGAGACUGUAUCUAUUUGCCACUAUGCUCUAGAAAUAAGAACAAGGGAAGUCAAUUUCAUUUUAAAUUCACUAUAGAUAAAAAACUGAAGAGGCAGCUACAUCCAGAGAGUCCUAGAUAUUCAAACUUACAGUUUCAUCACGCAAAUCCGAUUGGACCUUCUUGAUUUGAUAUCCUCAACUACAAAAUCCCAGGUUUAUUUAAAUAAAAUUGUGCACCUAAUGUGCCACAAGAUCAGCUAGCCUGAGAAAGUGUUCCAGCAAGAUGAAUCACUUUUAUCAUAUUAACAGGUCAUGAUGAAAAAAGCUGUGGCAGUCAGACAAAUAUAUACCUACUGCGAAAACACGACUUCGGUGACCAAUUUGUACGGCAAUCGCCCCUAUGCAGUUAAAUUUCUACUGCAAAAGCUGCAUAUACAGUAGAUCAUGGCAAAAUUCCAAGCGAUCAUUAGCUUUUGUUCAGCUAAAAUCCUAGUGUACUGAAGCUGCUAAAGCACUGGGUCACACCAUCAUACAGCACACACACUGAACUCCAAGCAAUCAUUUAUUCUAAUUCAGCUUAAAUCCUAGUGUAGUACUGAAGCAGCAAAGACCGUGGAUCACAUCAACAUAUGGCAAUUUCAUUUUCCUGUUGGCAAAAGCUAACGCUACAGUUACACCCGGAGAGUCCCAGGCAGUAAAAAUUGGGAUUUUAUCAUGUGAUUCCGGCUGCGGUUUGUUGAUCUGACACCACCGACUACUAAAUCCCAAAUUUAAAUUACCUACUUACUUAGCGUGUCACAAGCUUAGCUAGCCAUGACAAGUUGCAGCAAGCUGAACCAUUUUUAUCUCAUUAACAACUAUUCAUGGUGCAAAAUUGUUGCUUCGAUCACUUAUAAGCAACUAAGCACGCGUACAGUGACUGAUUUGUAAGUCAGUUGCUCUAAUUCAGCUAAAAUCCUAGUCUACUGAAGCUGGAGGCACUGGAUCACAUCAUCAUAUCGGCACCACAUCGAUGGAAUCUCGCGCACACAGCAGCUCGGCGCCCCAGAUAAUGGCAAGCGGCAGGCCAGAUCGCGGUCCAGCGCGACAGAUCUACGCCCCGGACCAACCCAGCCCGGCACGAUCGCGCGGGUAGAUCUAGCAGGACCAACGACCGAGCCGGGCCAGAUCGAUCAGAUCUAGGCGAGAGGAGCAAGGAGAGGGAGGUACCGGCGCCACUCGCGGAGGAGGAAGCCCUCGUCGGCCCCCAUCUGGGCGGGGUCGGGGAGGACGGGGCCGGGGUCGGUGAAGAGGCCGUCGUCGUCGGCGUCGUGGUGCAUGGCGUGGCCGUUGCCGUUGGAGUCGGGCAUGCCGAAGGGGUGCGCGGCGGCGGAGUCGUGGCGGAAGGCGUAGGGGUCGGGGGAGGCCGGGAAGGCGUCGCCGGAGACGUGGGCGUCGGCCGCGGCGGGGGUGGGGGAGUCGGCGAAGCUGAGGAAGGGGUCGUCGUGGAAGGGCGCGGCCGCCGGGGAGGAGGUCGGGGAGUCGAAGGCGGUCGCCAUGGGCGAUGGGGUCGGGAUCUNNNNNNNNNNNNNNNNNNNNNNNNNNNNNNNNNNNNNNNNNNNNNNNNNNNNNNNNNNNNNNNNNNNNNNNNNNNNNNNNNNNNNNNNNNNNNNNNNNNNGAUUAGACUAUUUGACCAAAUAAAAACUUAACCUUUUCCCAAUUUUAGUUCUUGGCAUAUUUUAACAACUUAGCACAAGUCAAGCAAUUUUAACACAAUUCAAGCAAGCAUGCAAAGAGUAUAUAAGCAGCGGAAAGUAAAGCAUGCAACUUGCAAGAAUGUAAAGGGAAGGGUUUGAAGAAUGCAAACGCAAUAGGAGACACAUAUGUUUUUGGCGUGGUUCCGAUAGGUGGUGCUAUCGUACAUCCACGUUGACGGAUACUUCAACCCACGAAGGGUAACGGCUGCGCGAGUCCACGGAGGGCUCCACCCACGAAGGGUCCACGAAGAAGCAACCUUGUCUAUCCCACCAUGGCCAUCUCCCACGAAGGACUUGCCUCACUAGGGUAGAUCUUCACGAAGUAGGCGAUAUCCUUGCCCUUACAAACUCCUUGGUUCACUCCACAAUCUUGUCGGAGGCUCCCAAGUGACACCUAACCAAUCUAGGAGACACCACUCUCCAAAAGGUAAUAGACGGUGUGUUGAUGAUGAACUCCUUGCUCUUGUGCUUCAAAUGAUAGUCUCACCAACACUCAACUCACUCUCAUAGGAUUGGAUUUGGUGGAAAGCUGAUUUGAGUGGAAAGCAACUUGGGGAAGGCUAGAGAUCAAGAUUCAUAUGGUAGGAAUGGAAUAUCUCGGUCUCAACACAUGAGUAGGUGGCUCUCUCUUAGAAAAUGGGUAGUGGAAGUGUAGGUACGUUCUGAUGGCUUCCCUCACGAAUGAGGAGAGGGCGGAGGGGUAUAUAUAGCCUCCACUCAAAAUCUAACCGUUACACACAAUAUACCAAACUCGGUGGGACCGAAUCAAAACUUGGUCGGACCGAUUCAGUGCAUAAUGUGACCGUUAGGAAAUUUCGGUGGGACCGACAUGUCAACUCGGUGGGACCGAUAUCAUUAGGGUUAGGGCAUAACAUAAUCUCGGUUGGAUCGAUUACACAAACCCGGUUGGACUGACUUUGGUAAUAAGCUAACUAGGGAGUUGGUCAGGCAAACUCGGUGUGACCGAUUCGCUCGUCUCGGUGGAACCGAAGCGUUACGAAAAGGAAAUAGGGAGUUUGCAUUGCAGACUCGGUGGGACCGAUCGCUCAUCUCGGUUAGACCGAAACGUUACAAAGGGAAACAGAGACUUUGCAAUCCCAUCUCGGUGAGACUGAGAUCCCUAUCGGUGAGACCGAAGUGACUAGGGUUUCUGGCAGUGGCUAUGUCAAAUGAACUCGGUGGCGCCAGAUGGAACAAAUCGGUGGGGCCGAGUUUGACUUUUGGUUUGGGACAUAUGUGGAUAUGAGAAAGUGGUUGAGGGCUUUGGAGCAUAUCACUAAGCAUUUUGAGCAAGCAAGCCAUUAAGCAACACCUCAUCCCCUUUUAAUAGUAUUGGCUUUCCUAUAGACUCAAUGUGAUCUUGGAUCACUAAAAUAGAAAAUGUAGAGUCUAGGACUUUAGAGCUUGAGCCAAUCUUUUGUCCUUAACAUUUUGAGGGGUCCACAAUCCUUAUCCAUGCCAUGCCAAUCAUUGAACUUUCCUGAAAUAUUUAUCUUGAAAUGGCAUUAGUUCAAUGAGCUAUAUGUUGUUAAUCAUUACCAAAACCACCCAGGGAUAGUUGCACUUUCAAUCUCCCCCUUUUUGGUAAUUGAUGACAACAUAUAGACCAAAGCUUCGACAAAUGAUAAUAAGAUUGAAAUACAUCGUCGCUUUGAGAAGUAUGUAACAAACAAGAGCUCCCCCUAAAUUUGUGCAUUAUUUAAAAUUUGCUUUGGACUGCAAAUGCACAAUGUGUUAGGAUCAUGGGUCACUUUUCCAUGUCACAUACAUCUUGGUGGAGCACUCAAAAUGAUAAUAAUUGAAAACAUGCACUCAUCACCAAGCAAAGUGAAUGAUCAUAACUGGAUAUAAGAGAUAAUAUCAUUCAAGCACACAUUAAGGUAGCAUAUGAUCAAACACAUGAUCAUCCAAGUAUCUCACAAAAGGCAUAAAGUAUCAAGCAAACACACAAUAAAGUAACAAGAAAAUAAAGUGCAAAGAGAGACAAAACAACACUCUCUCUCUUGAAGACUAUGAUCUAUACAUAUUUCUCCCCCUUUGCCAACAAGUUACCAAAAAGUUUAAAAUAUGCAUAGUGCUAUGCAUCUCUCAGGCUCGGUCUUCAUGAGGUGGUGUAGAGAUGAAUCCAAGGACGAAACCUUCUGUUGAAGUUGCUGGAGCUGGUGGAGUGGCUGCUGAAGCUGGUGGCACUGAAGCUGUGGCUGCUGGUGCAAAUGUAGUAGAUCUUGCAUCUGAAACAGGCACUGCAGCAGACCUCUGACUUCUGGGCACUCUUAUGAAAGCAUCUGUAGUAGACUUGCCUUUCUUCUCCUCCACUUCCUCUUGAAGUUGCUCAACCACUGACUGAAUCUCAGUUAAUUUGACAUCAAGAGCAUAGAGUUUUUGCUUAAUGAUCCUCUCCAAGCUCUCCUAAUUUUGAGUCAGGGUGGCCAAGCCCCGCUCAAUCCUCAAGGUGGAUUGGAUCAGAUAUCCAAGUUGAUCUUUCUUACUCUUUAAGAACACCUGAGAUGCCUCUUCAACACUUGGCAUCUUUGCAGCCUUCUCCGCCCUUGCCUUCUCUCUCUUGCCAUGUGCUUGCACUGAGGAAGGGUCUUCCUCAUUAAUAACAACAAUGUUAUCCUCAAAAUCUGGCCUGAGGAGUAGAUGCUCUUUGUCCAAUAGAUAUGUGCCUGUGCCCAUGUUGAAGUUGAUGAGCACCUGAAUUUGUGGAGCAUACCCACAAGAUCUCUUCUGAUCUGCAGCUGUCCUCUUGAUUGUCUCAAUAAUCAAACUCAUCACUUUGAACUUUUGAGGGACAUCAAAUAUAUGCAGCAAGUUAAUGGAGUGUCCUCUUAUCAUUAUGUAAUCUCCAGAUUUUGGCAAGAGAGUGUGCCUCAGAAUGGUAUUGAUAGUAGGCAGCCCUGACAGCAAGUGCUUCACCGAGCCAAACUUGUGAGUCUCCCACUACUAGGGAAAACCUUAUACACAGAACUUUAGCAGUAGCACGUCUUAAAAAGGAACGCUAGUGCUAAGUAGCAGUAGCGCGUUGAUGAAAAGCACGCUACAGAUAAUACUAUAGCAGUAGCGCGCCUGUGGAUAACCGCACUACUACAAAAAUUCUCACGGCUUAGCCGAUGGGCUACCCAUAGUAGUAGCGAGCCGCGGAGAACCGCGCUACCACUAUGUGCUUUGUACCAGCACGUUUAUGCGAAACGCACUACUGACAUAGGAAAUACAAUUAAAUGGAAAGCAAGUAGAAAAGUAAAUGAAAAUGAAAGAAAUAGAAAAAGGUGAAAGGAAAAAAAGUAAAAUGUAAAGAAAAAUAAAUGGAAAGGGGGAAAAAGAGAAAGGAAUAGCAGUAGCGCGUAUUGGGGAACGCGCUGUAGCUAACUUAGCAGUAGCGCGCUUCCUGGAACGCGCUACUGCUACUUUUGACUUAACUGCGCGGUUUCGUUCUUCUCCAGAGCCACUUCCCCCAAAUCGAACCCCUCCACUGUCGCGCCCGUCGGCCGCCGCGCGCNNNNNNNNNNNNNNNNNNNNNNNNNNNNNNNNNNNNNNNNNNNNNNNNNNNNNNNNNNNNNNNNNNNNNNNNNNNNNNNNNNNNNNNNNNNNNNNNNNNNAGAUGACGCCGAACACCGAAAAGCAGGUAUGCAAAGAAUAAUGGUGCAUGUAGUGGAUCAAAACCGAUACCACCCACACUCACAUAAUCAAUCGUUAGCGACAAGAUAAUAAGUCUAUAUGCAUGCUAUGCAUCAAACAAAUGCAACAACCAAAUGCUGCAAACAUACUAGACACUUAUACUACCACUUUCUAAUGCUCGCGUGGACUAGGGCGUCCUACAGCCAGACCUGCUCUGAUGCCAACACGUUUGGCACCCCGGCUCAGAGAGACCGGAACACCCCGUAUUCCAGCCCAGAGAUCAAGUCUUCUGGAAUACGACAGUGCUUGGCAUAGAACAAAUCAGCUUUUUAUUACAAAUACUCAGGGAUACAAGGGUUCCGACAUAACCGGCAAUUACAUCGGCACGGUGACACUACGCCUUCUCACGUUUCUCUAUGAUAGCAGCCGUAAAACUCGUAGCAGCGGAAUAACGACGAUAGUGAUGGACUGCACUCCGUAGGGACUCUGGCUGAAAUGCUUAUCCUAGCUCGCCAACAAGGGAUCCACGACAAAUAAGUAAGCAGACAAAGCCUGACCUGCAAACUGGCAUGACACACCAGGUCAGUACAUUGAAUGUACUUGCAAGCUCACAGGAACCAAAGCAAUCAAGACAAACAAUAACAUGGCAUUUACAGGUUACUUAGGAAUGAUGAGCAUGAUACUACCAGAACAACAUGGCGUGUAUAAGAUGAACAUGAUACCGCUAGAACAUUAUCAGCAUGGCAUGAACAUAUUACUUGAGACAUGAACAAUGAUGAUACUAGCAUGCAACAUGCUUACAAAUAUCACUUACUCUAUUCGGGGUUACCUCGUAACCACCAUAGAUAUGCCAUUCUCACUUACCAUCGUUGUCACGGGAUCACUUCAAUCAUUAUCAAGAAUACCACUGGCAUCAUCACAAGAUCACCUCAUCAUUAUCAAGAAUACCAUUGGGAUCCUCACAAGAUCACCUCAUCAUUAUCGAGAAUACCAUUGUGAUCCUCAUGUGACCACAUAAAGGUCAACCAACUUCUUUCCUCAUCAAACCGGGGUUGUUAUUAGUCAGGUUAUUAUUACUGUUGACUCAUAGUCUGACCUACUACAAACUGGGUCCAUAUCCGCGGGCGAGGCUAUCGGUAGAUUAUACACACUCUGCAGAGGUUAGCACAUUGUACCCACACCAUGGAACCCAAGGCCUCGUGCUCCCAUUCAGGUGGACCAAUGGCGUUCCGACAAAACCGAUCUACCGCCAUGACACUCUCCCGGCCACUCCGACAAACUCCCCUUUGGGCUAAGUCAUGGGUGGCCCUGAUGUCACAUCGUGACAUCCAACAGCCACCGUCGUGGCAAAACAAAACAGUCCCAAACGGGGACAACCCGGGUACAACAACAAUGGGCACACAAGGCUUAUGUCCGCCUACCCGAUUAGGGUAGCGCGCACCCAUAACCUUUCCUAGUUGGAUGCACCGGCAAGAGGCACGACAAUAGACCGCAUUAGGGCCUUCCCAUAAAGGAAAAUGUGGUUGCACUAGUUAGUUCUAUUUCGAUGGCACUAUGACUUAGCCAAUAGGUGUUCAAGUUAUAUUAAAGUCCGGUUUAACUUGAAUGUAACGAGCUGAGUCAUAAUAACA
Molecule: long non-coding RNA, 8652 nt
Filed under: Triticum aestivum (bread wheat)
Lineage: Eukaryota; Viridiplantae; Streptophyta; Magnoliopsida; Poales; Poaceae
Description: long non-coding RNA (TAES_LNC018835)
Source: RNAcentral